UCUGUUUUAGUAUAAUGGUAUUAUGUUGGCUUUUCGUGCUGUAGAUGGUUGUUUGACUGAACAGAU
RNAcentral lists this transfer RNA (66 nucleotides) under Echinococcus vogeli. RNAcentral's name for it is "tRNA-Glu". Lineage: Eukaryota; Metazoa; Platyhelminthes; Cestoda; Cyclophyllidea; Taeniidae. The record is from RNAcentral.